RNAcentral lists this long non-coding RNA (1433 nucleotides) under Prunus persica (peach). RNAcentral's name for it is "long non-coding RNA (PPER_LNC004524)". The record is from RNAcentral. Lineage: Eukaryota; Viridiplantae; Streptophyta; Magnoliopsida; Rosales; Rosaceae.
AAGAAUAUAUUAAAAAAAAGGGUUGCAGGUAAAUUAUUGGUAUGAAGCGUUUUAUCAUUGGUCUGAAGCAUUUACAUCAAAAACAAUAUAUUAGGCGUAAUUUUUUGUUCAGGCAUGAAAAUACAAUUGGUUUGAAAUAUGCUUGACUAGCUUCAGCAUUUGAUUAGCCUUACUCCUAAAUUGGUGCUAAGCAUCAAAUGACUACACAUGAAAAAAAAAGAAGCAAACAGAAUAACUCCUUUAGUAGUAACAACACAUAUAAAAGAAUGAUACCCAACAGCUCAUAAUCGAAGCAUGUAAUUUACCUAUCCCGCAAGCAUGACCCCAUCAUGUACUCACCCAUACCCAUUUGUAGAAACUACUAGGACCUUAUCUACUUACAUCUCCUCUAUGCAUGGAAAAACAACAUCAAAAUUCACUCGUGCGCUCAUAGCUCAUAUUGGAAUUUCGUCAAACACUUGAUGUGCGCAACUUAAAAUAGACCCAACUUUUUGCUGGAAAAACAACCGACUAUGCAAGAUAGAAAACAACCGACUAUUCAGCGUCUUUGUAGCAGUUUUAUUUCUUGUUCUUGGCACUGGGUCCCUCGAGGGGCAAACCGAGCAGCGGAUGCUGCAGCUCAGCGAGCUAGGCGGAGGAUGUGCGAUGAAGUUUGGGCUUCCAGCCCCCCAUCCUCUCUGGUUUUUGUGUUGCAAGCUGAUGGUCUUCCUUGCCCCCCGCGGUGCUAGGGAGUUUUGUGCUGGAGGCGGAUGGGCUCCCCUUUUGGAGGCGUCAUAGUUACUGGUCUCUAGCCUUGUUUCUUCUAGCAGUUGUGCGUUUUCUUGCUGUUGCUGUUGUUGUUUCCUUCUCUUUCUACCUUUGGUUUUUUGUCUGUUUCUCCCCUUGUUGUCUGUCUUUCGUGUUUGAAUGAAAGUUUCUAUUGACCAAAAAAAAAAAAAAAUGCAAGAUAGAAAACAACGUUAAUGUGAAAAUGAAAACAUAACUGGAAAAAAAAAAUUUGAAACUGAUUGCUACACAAAUUUAUACCAAUACAGAUAAUGAAUGGUACUGAUAAGAACGCAUGAUUUGGGGUAGAUGAAAAUGCAUAAUUUGGGAUAGAUAGAUGAAAAGCUGAUAAGAACGGAGACAAUAACACAUAAAUUACAUGUGUUAUGCAGGCAUACCAGUCAAAGUUUAAGACGUCGGCGCUGGAAUCGUUCGCAGUUAGUGUCGUCUUCAUUUUGUGACUAGUUUGAAAAAUUGAAUGUACCUAUGGACCCUAAUUUUGAAUGGCAGAGACAUUGGAGGCAAUCUAACCUUAGCGAAUAUGUGGUUUUCAAUGAUGGACAUGAAGCAAGGCUGAAAUGGAGGUAUACUAUUUUGAAGAGAAUGUAACAGUCGGACUGAGUGAUCUUUUGUAAUGAUGUAAAAACAUAAGAAUAUUAUGACCUUUU